This 74-nucleotide transfer RNA is filed under the name Moringua javanica (Java spaghetti eel). Its description in RNAcentral is "tRNA-Lys". It matches the Rfam family "tRNA". Rfam says of the family: Transfer RNA (tRNA) molecules are approximately 80 nucleotides in length. Their secondary structure includes four short double-helical elements and three loops (D, anti-codon, and T loops). Lineage: Eukaryota; Metazoa; Chordata; Actinopteri; Anguilliformes; Moringuidae. The record is from RNAcentral.
CACUAAGAAGCUAAAUUGGAAUAAGCAUUAGCCUUUUAAGCUAAAAAUUGGUGGCUUCCAACCACCCCUAGUGA